Molecule: ribosomal RNA, 1433 nt
Filed under: uncultured Bordetella sp.
Lineage: Bacteria; Pseudomonadati; Pseudomonadota; Betaproteobacteria; Burkholderiales; Alcaligenaceae
Description: partial 16S-23S ribosomal RNA intergenic spacer
Rfam family: Bacterial small subunit ribosomal RNA
Source: RNAcentral
GGUUUGAUUCUGGCCUGCAUUGAACGCUGGCGGGAUGCUUUACACAUGCAAGUCGAACGGCAGCACGGACUUCGGUCUGGUGGCGAGUGGCGAACGGGUGAGUACUGUAUCGGAACGUGCCUAGUAGCGGGGAUAAUUCACGCGAAAGCGUAGCUAAUACUGCACACGCGCCCUUCGGGGAAAGUGGGGACCUUCGGGCCUCGCACUAUUAGAGCGGCUGAUAUCGGAUUAGCUAGUUGGUGGGGUGUAACGGCUCACCAAGGCGACGAUCCGUAGUCGGAGAGGACGACCAGCCACACUGGGACUGGUACGGCCCAGACUCCUACGGGAGGCAGUGGGGAAUUUUGGGCCAAUGGGGAACCUUGAUCCAGCCAUCCCGCGUGUGCGAUGAAGGCCUUCGGGUUGCAAAGCACUUUUGGCAGGAGAAGAAACGGCAUGGGAUAAUACCUCGUGCAACUGACGGUACCUGCAGGCAAUAAGCACCGGCUAACACGCCAGCAGCCGCACACGUAAAAAGAACGGAAUUACUGGGCGUAAGUGCAAGUGCAGGCGGUUCGGAAGAAAGGGAUGUGAAACCUGUUUAACUUUGGUCCUGGGAUUUUUAACUGAGCUAGAGUGUGUCAGAGGGAGGUAAUUCCGCGUAGCAGUGAAUGCGUAGAUAUGCGGAGGAAUACCGACAAGAAGGCAGCUCUCCUGGGAUAACACUGACGCUCAUGCACGAAAGCGUGGGAAGCAAACAGGAUUAUUAUCCGGUAGUCCACGCCCUAAACGAUGUCAAUCUUAAAUGUAAAUGGGCUUGGCAGCGCAGCUAACGCGUGAAGUUGACCGCCUGGGGAGUACGGUCGCAAGAUUAAAACUCAAAGGAAUUGACGGGGACUCGCACAAGCGGUGGAUGAUGUGGAUUAAUUCGAUGCACAAAACCUUACCCACUGACAUGUCUGGAAAUCCUGAAGAGAUUUGGGAGUACUGCAAGAGAACCGGAACACAGGUGCUGCAUGGCUGUCGUCAGCUCGUGUCGUGAGAUGUUGGGUUGCUCGGCAACGAGCGCGCAACCCUUGGUCAUGGUUGCUACGAAAGGGCACUCUAAUGAGACUGCCGGUGACAAACCGGAGGAAGGUGGGGAUGACGUCAAGUCCUCAUGGCCCUUAUGGGUAGGGUCACACGUCAUACACGGUCGGGACAGAGACGCUAACCCGCGAGGGGGAGCUGCAAUCCCAGAAACCAAUUGUGUCCGGAUCGCAGUCUGCAACUUCGACUGCGUGAAGUCGGAAUCGCUAGUAAUCGCGGAUCAGCAUGGUGUCGCGUGAAUACGUCUCAGUCUUGUACACACCGCCCGUCACACCAUGGGAGUGGUUCACCGUAUGUUAGCCUAACCGUAAGGAGGGCGAUUGGUCGUGAGAGAUCACGACUGGGGUGAAGUCGUAACAAGGUAA